UACGUAGGGUGCGAGCGUUAAUCGGAAUUACUGGGCGUAAAGCGUGCGCAGGCGGUUUGUUAAGACAGAUGUGAAAGCCCCGAGCUUAACUUGGGAAUUGCGCUUGUGACUGGCGUGCUGGAGUGUGGCAGAGGGAGGUGGAAUUCCACGUGUAGCAGUGAAAUGCGUAGAGAUGUGGAGGAACACCGAUGGCGAAGGCAGCCUCCUGGGCCAGCACUGACGCUCAUGCACGAAAGCGUGGGGAGCAAACAGG
Molecule: ribosomal RNA, 253 nt
Filed under: uncultured bacterium
Lineage: Bacteria
Description: partial 16S ribosomal RNA
Rfam family: Bacterial small subunit ribosomal RNA
Source: RNAcentral